This 211-nucleotide small nuclear RNA is filed under the name Lynx canadensis (Canada lynx). RNAcentral describes it as "U4 spliceosomal RNA (ENSLCNG00005006872.1)". The stretch from base 1 to 121 matches the Rfam family "U4 spliceosomal RNA". From Rfam's summary of the family: U4 small nuclear RNA (U4 snRNA) is a component of the major U2-dependent spliceosome. The structure of U4 snRNA from yeast and human has been reported. The record is from RNAcentral. Lineage: Eukaryota; Metazoa; Chordata; Mammalia; Carnivora; Felidae.
AGCUUUGCGCAGUGGCAGUAUCGUAGCCAAUGAGGUUUAUCCGAGGCGCGAUUAUUGCUAAUUGAAAUAAACUCUGUUAUACUAAGAAUAUAUUUUUUUCUUAGGCAACAGAGAUUAUGCCAAGGAUGAUCCAUUGGAGUUUAAGUCCCACCAGUGGUUUGGAGCAUCUGUGAGAUCAAAACAAGACAAAAUUUUGGUAAGUCUUUUGGAU